UACGAAGGGGGCUAGCGUUGCUCGGAAUUACUGGGCGUAAAGGGCGCGUAGGCGGAUAUUUAAGUCGGGGGUGAAAGCCCAGGGCUCAACCCUGGAAUUGCCUUCGAUACUGGAAAGCUUGAGUCCGGAAGAGGUGAGUGGAACUCCGAGUGUAGAGGUGAAAUUCGUAGAUAUUCGGAAGAACACCAGUGGCGAAGGCGGCUCACUGGUCCGGUACUGACGCUGAGGUGCGAAAGCGUGGGGAGCAAACAGG
Molecule: ribosomal RNA, 253 nt
Filed under: uncultured bacterium
Lineage: Bacteria
Description: partial 16S ribosomal RNA
Rfam family: Bacterial small subunit ribosomal RNA
Source: RNAcentral